RNAcentral lists this transfer RNA (65 nucleotides) under Polycera hedgpethi. Its description in RNAcentral is "tRNA-Ser". The record is from RNAcentral. Lineage: Eukaryota; Metazoa; Mollusca; Gastropoda; Nudibranchia; Polyceridae.
AAUUAUUUUGUUCUUAUAAGGGUUUUGAAAACCUUUCCCGAGAAAUAAUGUUUCUCAACAAAUUU